UACAGAGGUGCCAAGCGUUAGGCGGAAUCACUGGGCUUAAAGCGUGUGUAGGCGGACCGGCAAGUACAUUGUGAAAUCCCACGGCUCAACCGGGGAACGGCUGGGUAUACUGCCGGCCUUGAGCGACCUAGGGGCGAGCGGAACAAACGGUGGAGCGGUGAAAUGCGUAGAUAUCGUUUGGAACGCCAACGGGGAAAACAGCUCGCUGGGGGUCUGCUGACGCUGAGACACGAAAGCCAGGGGAGCAAACGGG
This 253-nucleotide ribosomal RNA is filed under the name uncultured bacterium. RNAcentral's name for it is "partial 16S ribosomal RNA". It matches the Rfam family "Bacterial small subunit ribosomal RNA", at positions 524 to 776 of the family's 1533-position model. The record is from RNAcentral.